RNAcentral lists this ribosomal RNA (361 nucleotides) under Salmonella enterica subsp. enterica serovar Kentucky. RNAcentral's name for it is "bacterial SSU rRNA". It matches the Rfam family "Bacterial small subunit ribosomal RNA", at positions 68 to 429 of the family's 1533-position model. The record is from RNAcentral. Lineage: Bacteria; Pseudomonadati; Pseudomonadota; Gammaproteobacteria; Enterobacterales; Enterobacteriaceae.
GGUAACAGGAAGCAGUUGCUGCUUCGCUGACGAGUGGCGGACGGGUGAGUAAUGUCUGGGAAACUGCCUGAUGGAGGGGGAUAACUACUGGAAACGGUGGCUAAUACCGCAUAACGUCGCAAGACCAAAGAGGGGGACCUUCGGGCCUCUUGCCAUCAGAUGUGCCCAGAUGGGAUUAGCUUGUUGGUGAGGUAACGGCUCACCAAGGCGACGAUCCCUAGCUGGUCUGAGAGGAUGACCAGCCACACUGGAACUGAGACACGGUCCAGACUCCUACGGGAAGCAGUGGGGAAUAUUGCACAAUGGGCGCAAGCCUGAUGCAGCCAUGCCGCGUGUAUGAAGAAGGCCUUCGGGUUGUAAA